This 492-nucleotide ribosomal RNA is filed under the name uncultured bacterium. Its description in RNAcentral is "partial 16S ribosomal RNA". It matches the Rfam family "Bacterial small subunit ribosomal RNA", at positions 29 to 507 of the family's 1533-position model. The record is from RNAcentral.
AGUGAACGCUGGCGGUAGGCCUAACACAUGCAAGUCGAACGGCAGCACAGUAAGAGCUUGCUCUUACGGGUGGCGAGUGGCGGACGGGUGAGGAAUACAUCGGAAUUUACUUUUUCGUGGGGGAUAACGUAGGGAAACUUACGCUAAUACCGCAUACGACCUACGGGUGAAAGCAGGGGAUCUUCGGACCUUGCGCGAUUGAAUGAGCCGAUGUCGGAUUAGCUAGUUGGCGGGGUAAAGGCCCGCCAAGGCGACGAUCCGUAGCUGGUCUGAGAGGAUGAUCAGCCACACUGGAACUGAGACACGGUCCAGACUCCUACGGGAGGCAGCAGUGGGGAAUAUUGGACAAUGGGCGCAAGCCUGAUCCAGCCAUACCGCGUGGGUGAAGAAGGCCUUCGGGUUGUAAAGCCCUUUUGUUGGGAAAGAAAAGCAGCAGGUUAAUACCCCGCUGUUCUGACGGUACCCAAAGAAUAAGCACCGGCUAACUUCGUG